GACGAACGCUGGCGGCGUGCUUAACACAUGCAAGUCGAACGGAAAGGCCCUGCUUUUGUGGGGUGCUCGAGUGGCGAACGGGUGAGUAACACGUGAGUAACCUGCCCUUGACUUUGGGAUAACUUCAGGAAACUGGGGCUAAUACCGGAUAGGAGCUCCUGCUGCAUGGUGGGGGUUGGAAAGUUUCGGCGGUUGGGGAUGGACUCGCGGCUUAUCAGCUUGUUGGUGGGGUAGUGGCUUACCAAGGCUUUGACGGGUAGCCGGCCUGAGAGGGUGACCGGCCACAUUGGGACUGAGAUACAGCCCAGACUCCUACGGGAGGCAGCAGUGGGGAAUAUUGCACAAUGGGCGGAAGCCUGAUGCAGCAACGCCGCGUGCGGGAUGACGGCCUUCGGGUUGUAAACCGCUUUCGCCUGUGACGAAGCGUGAGUGACGGUAAUGGGUAAAAAAGCACCGGCUAACUACGUG
This 468-nucleotide ribosomal RNA is filed under the name uncultured bacterium. Its description in RNAcentral is "partial 16S ribosomal RNA". It matches the Rfam family "Bacterial small subunit ribosomal RNA", at positions 28 to 507 of the family's 1533-position model. The record is from RNAcentral.